RNAcentral lists this ribosomal RNA (501 nucleotides) under uncultured bacterium. Its description in RNAcentral is "bacterial SSU rRNA". It matches the Rfam family "Bacterial small subunit ribosomal RNA", at positions 30 to 518 of the family's 1533-position model. The record is from RNAcentral.
AUUGAACGCUGGCGGCAGGCCUAACACAUGCAAGUCGAACGGUAACAGGAAGCAGCUUGCUGCUUUGCUGACGAGUGGCGGACGGGUGAGUAAUGUCUGGGAAACUGCCUGAUGGAGGGGGAUAACUACUGGAAACGGUAGCUAAUACCGCAUAACGUCGCAAGACCAAAGAGGGGGACCUUCGGGCCUCUUGCCAUCAGAUGUGCCCAGAUGGGAUUAGCUUGUUGGUGGGGUAACGGCUCACCAAGGCGACGAUCCCUAGCUGGUCUGAGAGGAUGACCAGCCACACUGGAACUGAGACACGGUCCAGACUCCUACGGGAGGCAGCAGUGGGGAAUAUUGCACAAUGGGCGCAAGCCUGAUGCAGCCAUGCCGCGUGUAUGAAGAAGGCCUUCGGGUUGUAAAGUACUUUCAGCGGGGAGGAAGGUGUUGUGGUUAAUAACCACAGCAAUUGACGUUACCCGCAGAAGAAGCACCGGCUAACUCCGUGCCAGCCGCCGC